GACGAACGCUGGCGGCGUGCUUAACACAUGCAAGUCGAACGGAAAGGCCCCUUUGGGGGUACUCGAGUGGCGAACGGGUGAGUAACACGCGAGUAACCUGCCCUUGACUUCGGGAUAACUUCAGGAAACUGGGGCUAAUACCGGAUAGGAAUCCUUGCUGCAUGGUGGGGGUUGGAAAGCUUCGGCGGUUUUGGAUGGACUCGCGGCUUAUCAGCUUGUUGGUGGGGUAGUGGCUUACCAAGGCUUUGACGGGUAGCCGGCCUGAGAGGGCGACCGGCCACAUUGGGACUGGGAUACGGCCCAGACUCCUACGGGGGGCAGCAGGGGGGAAUAUUGCACAAUGGGCGGGAGCCUGAUGCAGCAACGCCGCGUGCGGGAUGACGGGCUUCGGGUUGGAAACCGCUUUCAGCAGGGGCGAAGCUUGUGGUGACGGUACCUGCAGAAGAAGCACCGGCUAACUACGUG
This 465-nucleotide ribosomal RNA is filed under the name uncultured bacterium. Its description in RNAcentral is "partial 16S ribosomal RNA". It matches the Rfam family "Bacterial small subunit ribosomal RNA", at positions 28 to 507 of the family's 1533-position model. The record is from RNAcentral.